AGGAUAGUAGUUAAUAAUAACAUUUGAAUUGCACUCAAAAAGUAUUGAGUUAAUCAAUCUAUCUUG
This 66-nucleotide transfer RNA is filed under the name Panesthia angustipennis angustipennis. RNAcentral's name for it is "tRNA-Ala". RNAcentral also lists the same sequence under 1 other name. The record is from RNAcentral. Lineage: Eukaryota; Metazoa; Arthropoda; Insecta; Blattodea; Blaberidae.